UGGUUCUGGCAUCGAUGAAGAACGCAGCGAAAUGCGAUAAGUAAUGUGAAUUGCAGAAUUCAGUGAAUCAUCGAAUCUUUGAACGCACAUUGCACCUUUUGGUAUUCCGAAAGGUAUAUAUGUUUGAACGUCAUUUAAACCUUCAAGUUUUACUUGGUCAUGAGAUGUAUCGACAAGAUAAUCUUCAAAUUAAAUGGCUUGAUUUUAGUUGAACAAACUUUGCAAUGUAAUAGUUAUGUCUUAACUUGAAUUAAUGCCCCAACUCAAAAUCGCUUGCGAUUUUCAAAAUGAAACUUGACUUCAAAUCAUAUAAGAAUACCCGCUGA
Molecule: unclassified non-coding RNA, 326 nt
Filed under: uncultured fungus
Lineage: Eukaryota; Fungi
Description: partial contains 5.8S ribosomal RNA and internal transcribed spacer 2
Rfam family: 5.8S ribosomal RNA (bases 1-133)
Source: RNAcentral